Molecule: long non-coding RNA, 726 nt
Organism: Sardina pilchardus (European sardine)
Lineage: Eukaryota; Metazoa; Chordata; Actinopteri; Clupeiformes; Clupeidae
Exons: 5
Source: RefSeq, a predicted model, not a curated record
ACAGUAGCCUAAUUAUUUUUACAGAUAUUGUAUUUACAUGUCAAUUCAGUAUCAGAAUCUCAGUACUUGGCAGUACUCACUCUCAAAAAAAUGAAAUCUCACUAUUGCUCAUCUUAAUGAAUCCUUUUUCGUAGGAUUUACACAAUAAAAUUAGGUUUCUAGGUGAAAAGGAGUCAGUUAUACGAAAUGCAUUCGUGUUUGGAGGAAAUAUGUCACUCUAUGGUCGCCGUAGAAGCAUUAUUUCAAAACGCACAAACGAGGGUCUCUGGCUGUGGCAGGUCUGCCUCUUCUCCCUCACUCGUGGAUUGUAAGACGUGGGAGUGCAGAGUGCAAGACAUCAGCGUCAUUGAGGUCUCUCUUACAGAAGCAUUACAGAUGUGCAGAAUUUCACACGCAUUGUGCAACUGAAGUCCAAGUUUAUGCCAGAACUUGACAUCUGCUCCAGGCUGUCUGCUGAGUGCCAUAGGAAGGGAGGAGAAACAAGACAUAAGAUUAAGGAGAUCAUGGCUGCCAUUGAUCGGAAUCCCAUCAUUGGCUCGUUGAGAGUUUGCCACCUGCAAGCACUUGUUGUGUACUUGAAGGCCCUGAGAAACUCAAAGGAAUACCUGAGCUGCCAGGACUGGUGUCAUCACUGAAAGCAGUCAUAAACAACAUGGCAGAUUCAUCUAUUUCCUCCAGCCAAAGCGACUCACCACGCACUAGCAGUGAGACUUGCAGUGAAGACAU